GCGACCUUGCGGGCCGCCCAGCUGUGGGGCCUCCGCUGGCCUCUCCCUGCACAGGGCGGCCACUAGUGCGGCCCCUGCCUGGACGUGACUGGAGGACAGAAGCCGAACUCCCCGUGCCCUGUCUUGCUUCAUCCGUCGGUUCAUUCAUGUGUUCAUUCAUUUAACACAACUCCGAACGCCUUCCAUGUUAACAGGUAGUGCUCCAGGCGUUUCGGAUACAUAAGUGACAGACUAUGGUAUGACAAACCUAUGGUAUGUCAGAUGCGGGAAGAGAAGAUUAGGAUAUGGACACACACAGGAGAAGACCACAUAAAGAUACAGGGAGAAGAUAGCAGUCUGCAAGCCCAGGAAACCAGCCCUCAGAGGGAACCA
This is a long non-coding RNA of Pipistrellus kuhlii (Kuhl's pipistrelle), 372 nucleotides long. RefSeq lists it as uncharacterized. NCBI's taxonomy places the organism in Eukaryota, Metazoa, Chordata, Mammalia, Chiroptera, Vespertilionidae. The transcript is spliced from 3 exons. The record is from RefSeq and is a predicted model, not a curated record.